Molecule: ribosomal RNA, 502 nt
Filed under: uncultured bacterium
Lineage: Bacteria
Description: bacterial SSU rRNA
Rfam family: Bacterial small subunit ribosomal RNA
Source: RNAcentral
ACAGAGUGACAGGUGGUGCAUGGUUGUCGUCAGCUCGUGUCGUGAGAUGUUGNGUUAAGUCCCGCAACGAGCGCAACCCUUGAUNUUAGUUGCCAGCAUUCAGUUGGGCANUCUAAGGUGACUGCCGGUGACAAACCGGAGGAAGGUGGGGAUGACGUCAAAUCAUCAUGCCCCUUAUNACNUGGGCUACACACGUGCUACAAUGGAUGGUACAAAGGGCAGNGAAGCCGCGAGGUGGAGCCAAUCCCAUAAAACCAUUCUCAGUUCGGAUUGCAGGCUGCAACUCGCCUGCAUGAAGCNGGAAUCGCUAGUAAUCGCGGAUCAGCAUGCCGCGGUGAAUACGUUCCCGGGCCUUGUACACACCGCCCGUCACACCACGAGAGUUUGUAACACCCGAAGUCGGUGGGGUAACCGCAAGGAGCCAGCCGCCUAAGGUGGGACAGAUGAUUGGGGUGAAGUCGUAAGCAAGGUAGCCGUAUCGGAAGGUGCGGCUGGAUCACCU